RNAcentral lists this unclassified non-coding RNA (361 nucleotides) under uncultured fungus. Its description in RNAcentral is "partial contains ITS1, 5.8S rRNA and ITS2". Lineage: Eukaryota; Fungi. The record is from RNAcentral.
AACGCAAAUUGCACUUGAUUUCGGUCAAGUAUGUUUAUUUGAGGGUUGUUUAUCAAUUUUCUUUAUUUUUUUGUAAAAGAAAAAACAAAGAAUCGAAAAUUUUAUGAAAGAUUAAAUUUUUUCAUAAUUUUUUUUAGAAUUUUUAAACAACAUUUUCUCUCUUUUUUUGUUCUUUUUUCUAAGAGGAAAAAUUCUUUUUAAUAAGAAGAAUUUUUAAUUUCUCUUGGGUAAAAAAAAAGGACAUUUAAAAAAAAAGUUUGAAAAUUUUAUUUGAAUUUUUGUUCUUUUUUGAAUUAUUUCAAAAAAGAAUAAACCUUAAUUUCACAACCUCAAAUUAAACAAGAUUACCCGCUGAAUUUAA